RNAcentral lists this ribosomal RNA (477 nucleotides) under Davidius moiwanus. RNAcentral's name for it is "partial 16S ribosomal RNA". It matches the Rfam family "Bacterial large subunit ribosomal RNA", at positions 1923 to 2608 of the family's 2925-position model. The record is from RNAcentral. Lineage: Eukaryota; Metazoa; Arthropoda; Insecta; Odonata; Gomphidae.
UUUAACGGCCGCGGUAUUUUGACCGUGCAAAGGUAGCAUAAUCAUUAGUCUUUUAAUAGGAGGCUGGAAUGAAGGGUUUGACGAGGUGUUGACUGUCUCAUUUAAUUUGAAAUUAAAAUUUAACUUUUCAGUUAAAAGGCUGAAAUUAUAUUGGAAGACGAGAAGACCCUAUAGAGCUUUAUAGUUAUAGUUCUAAUUAAUUAUUGUUUAAUUAUUAUUUUUUAUAAUUAUGUCUAUUUUGUUGGGGUGACAAAAAUAUAAAAGUAACUUUUUUAUUUAGUGUUCAUUGAUUUAUGAACUUUAGAUCCAAUUUUAUUGAUUGUUAGAAUAAGUUACCUUAGGGAUAACAGCGUAAUCUUCCUUCAGAGUUCAUAUUUACAGGAAGGAUUGCGACCUCGAUGUUGGAUUAAGAUAAUAAUUAGGUGUAGCCGCUUAAUUUAUAGGUCUGUUCGACCUUUAAACUCUUACAUGAUCUGA